AUGGGGGGCCGUCCUUCCGAGGAGCGCAUACAAUGUGAAGCUACCUAUCGUUGCUUCGGCGGACUCGCCCCAGCCCGGACGCGGACUGGACCAGCGGCCCGCCGGGGACCUCAAACUCUUGUAUUCCAGCAUCUUCUGAAUACGCCGCAAGGCAAAACAAAUGAAUCAAAACUUUCAACAACGGAUCUCUUGGCUCUGGCAUCGAUGAAGAACGCAGCGAAACGCGAUAAGUAAUGUGAAUUGCAGAAUCCAGUGAAUCAUCGAAUCUUUGAACGCACAUUGCGCCCGCCAGCAUUCUGGCGGGCAUGCCUGUUCGAGCGUCAUUUCAACCCUCGACCUCCCCUUGGGGGGGUCGGCGUUGGGGACCGGCAGCACACCGCCGGCCCUGAAAUGGAGUGGCGGCCCGUCCGCGGCGACCUCUGCGCAGUAAUACAGCUCGCACCGGAACCCCGACGCGGCCACGCCGUAAAACACCCAACUUCUGAACGUUGACCUCGAAUCAGGUAGGACUACCCGCUGAACUUAAGCAUAUCAAUAAGCGGACGUACCCUCGCGAAAUUGAUAUGUCCCUCCCCCGAGCCGACGAUGUUUUGGUCCUUUCUAUAAUUCCCGUCCGCAUUCCAGGCGACACAGGCCCUCUCUGACACCACAUGUUUUUUCUAAAUGCGGAGUGGCGCAGGAAAGGAAAUGAAAAAAAAUUUCAAUGCUGCUUGUGAUCUGUGCUUAAAAAAAAUCCCCUGAAAGAAUAAAAAUAAGGCGUGGGUGUCUAAUUCGAUGGACUCCGGAAAUCAACGAACACCAUUAGCGCCCCACCCCGGGAGGAAAUUCUUCAUUGGUUCAUUCUCUCUUGCCUGGCUUUCUUGGAAGAACUAAAGACGGCACACCCUUACCUGAUGAUGGCCUCAUCCUUCCGCUUGAUCGGAAACCCAUCUAAAACACCAGGUUCCGUCUUAGAUAUACCAUAAUCUUU
RNAcentral lists this ribosomal RNA (970 nucleotides) under Beauveria bassiana. RNAcentral's name for it is "eukaryotic LSU rRNA". The stretch from base 170 to 323 matches the Rfam family "5.8S ribosomal RNA". Lineage: Eukaryota; Fungi; Ascomycota; Sordariomycetes; Hypocreales; Cordycipitaceae. The record is from RNAcentral.